This 148-nucleotide non-coding RNA is filed under the name Lysinibacillus sphaericus. The record is from RNAcentral. Lineage: Bacteria; Bacillati; Bacillota; Bacilli; Caryophanales; Bacillaceae.
UAGAUAAUAUUAACAAUAGGUACUACAUUUUGUAGUUUAAAUUGGGAAGUCGGAGUAGAUUAAUCUUAUUCUUAAAGCCGACGCUGUUUACGCAACUGUGAAUGCUGAUAAAGCAAGCCAGGAGACCAGCCAAACACAAUUAUUAUUA